RNAcentral lists this ribosomal RNA (370 nucleotides) under uncultured organism. Its description in RNAcentral is "bacterial SSU rRNA". It matches the Rfam family "Bacterial small subunit ribosomal RNA", at positions 526 to 896 of the family's 1533-position model. The record is from RNAcentral.
CGUAGGGUGCGAGCGUUAAUCGGAAUUACUGGGCGUAAAGCGUGCGCAGGCGGUUUUGUAAGACAGAUGUGAAAUCCCCGGGCUCAACCUGGGACCUGCAUUUGUGACUGCAAGGCUAGAGUACGGUAGAGGGGGAUGGAAUUCCGCGUGUAGCAGUGAAAUGCGUAGAUAUGUGGAGGAACACCGAUGGCGAAGGCAAUCCCCUGGACCUGUACUGACGCUCAUGCACGAAAGCGUGGGGAGCAAACAGGAUUAGAUACCCUGGUAGUCCACGCCCUAAACGAUGUCAACUGGUUGUUGGGUCUUUACUGACUCGGUAACGAAGCUAACGCGUGAAGUUGACCGCCUGGGGAGUACGGCCGCAAGGUUG